CUCAUAGGCAAAAAACUGCAGAUAAUUUGUCUUCCACUCUGUGAUGCACACAAACCACUGCUUUGAUCAUGUGACGUGCAGCUUACAUUUCACUACAGACAGAGCAAGAGGUGGAACAGAGUGUACAGGGUGUUAGCCAACUCUUCCGUCAAUAGCCUCGCUGCUAACCCCACCCUCCUGCCAGCAAAACACAAUGUCACGCUUAUCAGGAGCCUGAGCAGGUUGCCCACUAUCUCAUCUCUCACAGAAUAUCUCAAUUCGUUGCUUUUCCUUUCAGAGUCCCUGGGAUAUUACUGCACCUCAGCAACGUCGUCAACAAAGCUUUGCUACACCUUCUCUCCUUCAUUGCAGAGUGGCUGAUGUCUAGAGAGGCCCUCCAUGUUACGUCUGGAGCCCAUGCAAAUGCUCUAGCCUUGAAUGACCUGUACCAGUGCCUUUCCCCUUCUCAACAUCAGCCACUCCUGCCUCAUCAUAGACAAUGGGAUGUCCUAAAAUGAGUAAAGUAUGCCUUAAAGUAUAAAUGGCUCUACAAACAAUGUACGUACCCUAUAUCAAAUUACAUCAAAUUGUAUUGGUCGUGAACACAUUUUCAGAUACAAUCGCAGGUGCAGUGAAAUGCUUAUGUUUCUAGCUCCAACAGUGCAAUAGUUUAAACUAUAGGUUUUGCAAUAACAACUGGCACCCUGUUGAC
Molecule: long non-coding RNA, 691 nt
Filed under: Salmo trutta (river trout)
Lineage: Eukaryota; Metazoa; Chordata; Actinopteri; Salmoniformes; Salmonidae
Description: lncRNA (ENSSTUG00000049998.1)
Source: RNAcentral